This 228-nucleotide long non-coding RNA is filed under the name Mytilus galloprovincialis (Mediterranean mussel). The record is from RNAcentral. Lineage: Eukaryota; Metazoa; Mollusca; Bivalvia; Mytilida; Mytilidae.
GAUUUAACAAAUAUGGCUGCUCAUUAAAUGCCGUGUUUUGAAGCCGAAGUUUACCGAUUGUCACCUUAUAGUGAACAAAUAACAAAAAGCAUGGGUAUUGAGCACGUGUUUAACAUGUACAAUCAGAAAAUUGUUUAUUUUAAUGUCUGAUCCAUGCGUAUUGCGACCACCAGAUUUUUACGAGGAGAGUUACGCUCAGGUCACUAUGCAUACGGAAAAUAUGUCGGC